AUACGUAGGUGGCAAGCGUUGUCCGGAUUUAUUGGGCGUAAAGCAUGCGUAGGCGGAUAUUUAAGUGGGAUGUGAAAUCCCGGGGCUCAACUCCGGUCUUGCAUUCCAAACUGGAUAUCUAGAGUACAGGAGAGGAAAGUGGAAUUCCUAGUGUAGCGGUGAAAUGCGUAGAGAUUCGGAAGAACACCAGUGGCGAAGGCGACUUUCUGGACUGUAACUGACGCUGAGGCAUGAAAGCGUGGGUAGCAAACAGGAUUAGAUACCCUGGUAGUCCACGCCGUAAACGAUGAGUACUAGGUGUCGGGGUUUCAAUACUUCGGUGCCGCAGUUAACACAUUAAGUACUCCGCCUGGGAAGUACGAUCGCAAGAUUAAAACUCAAAGGAAUUGACGGGG
RNAcentral lists this ribosomal RNA (395 nucleotides) under uncultured bacterium. RNAcentral describes it as "partial 16S ribosomal RNA". It matches the Rfam family "Bacterial small subunit ribosomal RNA", at positions 523 to 918 of the family's 1533-position model. The record is from RNAcentral.